UNGCUCAAGGGUUCCAAAAGUCUAAAAUCC
Molecule: non-coding RNA, 30 nt
Filed under: Mus musculus (house mouse)
Lineage: Eukaryota; Metazoa; Chordata; Mammalia; Rodentia; Muridae
Source: RNAcentral